Oxyura jamaicensis (ruddy duck) is the source of this 959-nucleotide long non-coding RNA. RefSeq lists it as uncharacterized. The record is from RefSeq and is a predicted model, not a curated record. NCBI's taxonomy places the organism in Eukaryota, Metazoa, Chordata, Aves, Anseriformes, Anatidae. The transcript is spliced from 2 exons.
AUGCCGUGAGACAAACAACUGUGGCUAUUAUGAGGUGUGAGAUGUGAACUGCAGCAAUUUCAGCUGGAGAUGCCCUUCUCCCUUAGUUUGUGAAUAUCCUUGAAUAGCCUGAGCCCAAAGGAACUGGGAUCCUGCUAUUACUAGGUUUAUUUCAUUUUCUUAUUUGGAGAACUAGGGGUGCAUUAACAAAAAAAAGUAAGAAAAAUAAAAUAAAAUAAAAUAAAAUAAAACAAAAAGUUAUGCAUACACAUUUUUGGUUUGGCUGUUGAGGAAAAGCAAGUAUUUGCAGGUCUGUCUCAGGAGAAGUUACAUCUUGGGGGAAUAUUGCUGUUUCUCGGGAGGAGGCUUUUGUUCAGUAGUGCUAUACUCCCAUGGAUAACUCAGCUGACGUCUGCAGAGCCAGAUUUCCCUGCCUUGAAAUCCAAAUUCCCCUUCCUUGAAACCAAUAGCAAAACUCACUGAGACCAUUUGUUCAGGAUGCAUGCAAAGGGAUUUCUGCCGGGCUCUCCUCUGCCUGCUCCAAACUGAAGACAAAAUGACUGCCUGUCUGAAUACAGCAGACGUCUCAGAGAUGUAAAUGUUGAGCACACCUGAAUCAAAGCCACAGCACAGCUGAAUACAGUAUUGUAUAAAGAAAAUAUUGACUGUCUUUGUGUUUGUUUGUUUUUUGUGUAGGGGGUUGAAAAUACUAGUGAUGUUUAAACACCUCUUUAGAGUCAUUACAAGAUAUUGUGCAAAUAUAGUAAUUUUUCUCCAGUAAACAGGCAUGAAAUACACGUUUGCUUAUCAGAAUGAAACAGUUCCAGGGGAGGCCGUGAAGUCUGUCAGGUGAAUCAUCUCAUCUCCAGCUUUGAUGUAUUGAAGGGGGUAAAUAAGUGACUUUUUAGAGAUGUCUAAAUAUACAUUUCCCUGGGAGAGCUUUUUCAAUCGCUAGGAUAAAUAAAUCAUGCCUAUAUAAA